AGCGAACGCUGGCGGCAGGCUUAACACAUGCAAGUCGAGCGGGCAUCCUUGUGGUGUCAGCGGCAGACGGGUGAGUAACGCGUGGGAACGUGCCCUUCGGUUCGGAAUAACUCAGGGAAACUUGAGCUAAUACCGGAUACGUGCGAGAGCAGAAAGGUUUAUCUGCCGAAGGAUCGGCCCGCGUCUGAUUAGCUAGUUGGUGAGGUUACGGCUCACCAAGGCGACGAUCAGUAGCUGGUCUGAGAGGUUGAUCAGCCACACUGGGACUGAGACACGGCCCAGACUCCUACGGGAAGCAGCAGUGGGGAAUAUUGGACAAUGGGGGCAACCCUGAUCCAGCCAUGCCGCGUGAGUGAUGACGGCCUUAGGGUUGUAAAGCUCUUUUCUCCGGGACGAUAAUGACGGUACCGGAGGAAUAAGCCCCGGCUAACUUCGUG
This 437-nucleotide ribosomal RNA is filed under the name uncultured bacterium. RNAcentral describes it as "partial 16S ribosomal RNA". It matches the Rfam family "Bacterial small subunit ribosomal RNA", at positions 29 to 507 of the family's 1533-position model. The record is from RNAcentral.